UACGUAGGGAGCAAGCGUUGUCCGGAAUCAUUGGGCGUAAAGCGCGCGUAGGUGGCCCCGUAAGUCCGCUGUGAAAGUCCAAGGCUCAACCUCUGAAAGCCGGUGGAUACUGUGGGACUAGAGUACGGAAGAGGCGAGUGGAAUUCCUGGUGUAGCGGUGGAAUGCGCAGAUAUCAGGAGGAACACCAAUAGCGAAGGCAGCUCGCUGGGACGUUACUGACACUGAGGCGCGAAAGCGUGGGGAGCGAACAGG
This 253-nucleotide ribosomal RNA is filed under the name uncultured bacterium. RNAcentral describes it as "partial 16S ribosomal RNA". It matches the Rfam family "Bacterial small subunit ribosomal RNA", at positions 524 to 776 of the family's 1533-position model. The record is from RNAcentral.